CAGGCUUAACACAUGCAAGUCGAACGGUAGCAUGCUGUAGCAAUACAGUGAUGACGAGUGGCGCAAGGGUGAGUAACACAUAAGAAUCUGCCCCCCUGUGGGGGACAACAGUUGGAAACGACUGCUAAUACAGCGUACGCCCGAAAGGGGAAAGAUUUAUCGCGGGGGGAUGAGCUUAUGCCUGACUAGGUAGUUGGUGGGGUAAAGGCCUACCAAGCCGAUGAUCAGUAGCCGGUCUGAGAGGAUGAACGGCCACACUGGGACUGAGACACGGCCCAGACUCCUACGGGAGGCAGCAGUGGGGAAUAUUGGACAAUGGGGGGAACCCUGAUCCAGCCAUGCCGCGUGAGUGACGAAGGCCUUCGGGUUGUAAAGCUCUUUUAUAUAUGAGGAUGAUGACGUUAGUAUAUGAAUAAGCACCGGCUAACUUCGUGCCAGCCGCCGCCGUAA
Molecule: ribosomal RNA, 450 nt
Filed under: uncultured bacterium
Lineage: Bacteria
Description: partial 16S ribosomal RNA
Rfam family: Bacterial small subunit ribosomal RNA
Source: RNAcentral